RNAcentral lists this unclassified non-coding RNA (279 nucleotides) under uncultured fungus. Its description in RNAcentral is "partial contains 5.8S ribosomal RNA, internal transcribed spacer 2, and large subunit ribosomal RNA". Lineage: Eukaryota; Fungi. The record is from RNAcentral.
AACGCACAUUGCGCCUCUUGGUAUUCCAGGAGGCACGCCUGUUCGAGCGCCAUUACAAACUCCAAGCUUGGCUUGAUGAUGGAGGAUGUGAGAGAUUCACACCUCUGGAACGCGUUGGCGCCGCCGGCGAACCACGAGCGUAGCAAGACGAAAGUCAUCGCAUCGUUGGUGACGUCGGACGGUCAGCCUUGUUCUCCUGUUAUUCGACAAGUUAUAACAGUCGACAUACACUUUCACAAGUUUGGCCUCGGAUCAGGCGGGGAUACCCGCUGAACUUAA